Molecule: ribosomal RNA, 2888 nt
Filed under: Acinetobacter baumannii
Lineage: Bacteria; Pseudomonadati; Pseudomonadota; Gammaproteobacteria; Moraxellales; Moraxellaceae
Description: 23S ribosomal RNA
Rfam family: Bacterial large subunit ribosomal RNA
Source: RNAcentral
GUUGUAUAGUCAAGUAAUUAAGUGCAUGUGGUGGAUGCCUUGGCAGUCAGAGGCGAUGAAAGACGUGAUAGCCUGCGAAAAGCUCCGGGGAGGCGGCAAAUAUCCUUUGAUCCGGAGAUGUCUGAAUGGGGGAACCCACCUACUUUAAGGUAGGUAUUGCAACAUGAAUACAUAGUGUUGCAAGGCGAACGAGGGGAAGUGAAACAUCUCAGUACCCUUAGGAAAAGAAAUCAAUUGAGAUUCCCUCAGUAGCGGCGAGCGAACGGGGAUCAGCCCAUUAAGUUAUGUGUGUUUUAGUGGAACGCUCUGGGAAGUGCGAACGUAGAGGGUGAUAUUCCCGUACACGAAAGGGCACACAUAAUGAUGACGAGUAGGGCGAGGCACGUGAAACCUUGUCUGAAUAUGGGGGGACCAUCCUCCAAGGCUAAAUACUCCUGACUGACCGAUAGUGAACCAGUACCGUGAGGGAAAGGCGAAAAGAACCCCUGUGAGGGGAGUGAAAUAGAUCCUGAAACCGCAUGCAUACAAGCAGUGGGAGCACCUUCGUGGUGUGACUGCGUACCUUUUGUAUAAUGGGUCAGCGACUUAUAUUCAGUAGCAAGGUUAACCGUAUAGGGGAGCCGUAGAGAAAUCGAGUCUUAAUAGGGCGUUUAGUUGCUGGGUAUAGACCCGAAACCAGGCGAUCUAUCCAUGAGCAGGUUGAAGGUUGGGUAACACUAACUGGAGGACCGAACCCACUGUCGUUGAAAAGCCAGGGGAUGACUUGUGGAUAGGGGUGAAAGGCUAAUCAAGCCUGGUGAUAGCUGGUUCUCCCCGAAAGCUAUUUAGGUAGCGCCUCGGACGAAUACCAUAGGGGGUAGAGCACUGUUUCGGCUAGGGGGUCAUCCCGACUUACCAAACCGAUGCAAACUCCGAAUACCUAUGAGUACUAUCCGGGAGACAGACUGCGGGUGCUAACGUCCGUAGUCAAGAGGAAAACAAUCCAGACCGCCAGCUAAGGCCCCAAAAUCAUAGUUAAGUGGGAAACGAUGUGGGAAGGCAUAGACAGCUAGGAGGUUGGCUUAGAAGCAGCCACCCUUUAAAGAAAGCGUAAUAGCUCACUAGUCGAGUCGGCCUGCGCGGAAGAUGUAACGGGGCUAAAACUAUGUGCCGAAGCUGCGGAUNNNNNNNNNNNNNNNNNNNNNNNNNNNNNNNAUGCUGGAGGUAUCAGAAGUGCGAAUGCUGACGUGAGUAACGACAAAACGGGUGAAAAACCCGUUCGCCGAAAGACCAAGGGUUCCAGUCCAACGUUAAUCGGGGCUGGGUGAGUCGACCCCUAAGGCGAGGCCGAAAGGCGUAGUCGAUGGGAAAAUGGUUAAUAUUCCAUUACUUCUGUGUAAUGCGAUGAGAGGACGGAGAAGGCUAAAUCAGCCUGGCGUUGGUUGUCCAGGUGAAAGGAUGUAGGCAUGUAUCUUAGGCAAAUCCGGGGUACUCUAUGCUGAGAUCUGAUAGCAAGCUGUACUUGUACAGCGAAGUGGUUGAUGCCAUGCUUCCAGGAAAAGUCUCUAAGCUUCAGUUACACAGGAAUCGUACCCGAAACCGACACAGGUGGUCAGGUCGAGUAGACCAAGGCGCUUGAGAGAACUCUGCUGAAGGAACUAGGCAAAAUGGUACCGUAACUUCGGGAGAAGGUACGCUGUUGUUGGUGAUGGAACUCGCUUCCUGAGCUGACGACAGCCGCAGAAACCAGGCCGCUGCAACUGUUUAUUAAAAACAUAGCACUCUGCAAACACGAAAGUGGACGUAUAGGGUGUGAUGCCUGCCCGGUGCUGGAAGGUUAAUUGAUGGGGUUAGCGUAAGCGAAGCUCUUGAUCGAAGCCCCAGUAAACGGCGGCCGUAACUAUAACGGUCCUAAGGUAGCGAAAUUCCUUGUCGGGUAAGUUCCGACCUGCACGAAUGGCAUAAUGAUGGCGGCGCUGUCUCCAGCAGAGGCUCAGUGAAAUCGAAAUCGCUGUGAAGAUGCAGUGUACCCGCGGCUAGACGGAAAGACCCCGUGAACCUUUACUGCAGCUUGACACUGAACUUUGACCUUACUUGUGUAGGAUAGGUGGGAGGCUUUGAAGCUGGAACGCUAGUUCCAGUGGAGCCGUCCUUGAAAUACCACCCUGGUAAUGUUGAGGUUCUAACUCUGUCCCGUGAUCCGGGACGAGGACCGUGUCUGGUGGGUAGUUUGACUGGGGCGGUCUCCUCCUAAAGAGUAACGGAGGAGUACGAAGGUGCGCUCAGCGUGGUCGGAAAUCACGCGUAGAGUAUAAAGGCAAAAGCGCGCUUAACUGCGAGACCCACAAGUCGAGCAGGUACGAAAGUAGGUCUUAGUGAUCCGGUGGUUCUGUAUGGAAGGGCCAUCGCUCAACGGAUAAAAGGUACUCUGGGGAUAACAGGCUGAUACCGCCCAAGAGUUCAUAUCGACGGCGGUGUUUGGCACCUCGAUGUCGGCUCAUCUCAUCCUGGGGCUGAAGCAGGUCCCAAGGGUAUGGCUGUUCGCCAUUUAAAGAGGUACGCGAGCUGGGUUUAGAACGUCGUGAGACAGUUCGGUCCCUAUCUACCGUGGGCGCUGGAAAUUUGAGAGGAUCUGCUCCUAGUACGAGAGGACCAGAGUGGACGAACCUCUGGUGUACCGGUUGUGACGCCAGUCGCAUCGCCGGGUAGCUAUGUUCGGAAGGGAUAACCGCUGAAAGCAUCUAAGCGGGAAGCCUACCUCAAGAUAAGAUUUCCCUAGGACUUUAUGUCCUCUAAAGAGCCGUUCGAGACUAGGACGUUGAUAGGUUGGAUGUGGAAGCAUAGUGAUAUGUGAAGCUGACCAAUACUAAUUGCUCGUGAGGCUUGACUAUACAACACCCAAGCAGUUG